This 6408-nucleotide long non-coding RNA is filed under the name Sus scrofa (pig). RNAcentral's name for it is "lncRNA (ENSSSCG00000058747.1)". Lineage: Eukaryota; Metazoa; Chordata; Mammalia; Artiodactyla; Suidae. The record is from RNAcentral.
UUUUUUUUUUUUUUUUGGUCUUUCUAGGGCUGCAUCUGUGGCACACGGAGGUUCCCAGGAGAGGGGUCUAAUCAGAACUGUAGCUGAUGGCCUACGCCACAGCCACAGCAAUGCCAGAUCCGAGCCAAGGCUGAGACCUACACCACAGCUCAUGGCAACGCCAGAUCCUUAACCCACUGAGAGAGGCCAGGGAUCAAAACCACAACCUCAUGGUUCCUAGGUGGAUUUGUUUCCGCUGAGCCACAAUGGGAACUCCAAGAUAAUAAAACUAAUUAUAGUUUUUCAUGUUAGAUUUAGAAUGUAUAUGUUAUCCAUUGCUGAGUGACAGAUUCCCUCAAAACUUAAGUACUUAGCAGCUAAGACAGCACACAUUUCUUAGCUCACAGUUUCUAUGGCUCAGGAAUCCAAGCAUGGCAUAGUUAGGUCCUCCACAUGAGGGUAUGUGAAGAAGCUACAAUGAAAGUGUCAGCAAUGUGAUGUCAUCUCAAAAUUCAACUGGGAUAGAAUUCAUUUUUGUGUUCCAUUAGCAGUUAUAGGCAAGAUCUAGUUUCUGCAGGCUCUUGAACUAAGGCUUCUGUUCUUCACUGGCUGUCAGUCAGAGGCUGCUUCAGUUAUUUGUCAAGUGAGCCAUUCCACAGGAUAGCUCUUAACCUGGCAACUGGCUUCAUCAGAGUGAGCAGGUGAGAGACUGGGAGAGUGUCAGAUGGAAGUCCCAGCCUUUUAUAACCUCUCUCAAAACUGAUUCCCAUUACUUUGUCAUUCUGUUCAUUAGGAGCAAGUCACUAGGGACAGCGGGCUCUUGAGAGGAAGGGACCACACAGGGUGCAAAUGCCAGGAGAUGGGGGUCUGUGGGACCUUCUCAAUGGCAGUCUACCACAAAUUGGGUUCUGAUGCUUUGGACAGGAAGAGUCCUAACUGAAUUUGCUGUGAGGUCUUAAUGAUAUUUAGUUGGCAUUAUGACCACAGAAAUGCAGGAAUACCAGAAUUCAAAGAGAGUUACCCUAUUCCUGAGGUUCCAAAUGGAAUUUUAUGCAUGAUGAACAAUAACAACAGUAAAAAGGUAAUGCAAAACUUUUUUCUUAACCAAACUUCAACCAAAACCCCUACAUACGCAUACACAAAAUUACAUUUAAAUCUGUGGUUUUGCCUCAUAAUCAUUCCUAAUUCGGAAACCUAACAUUACUAAGUGCUGGUCACAUAGGAAAAAAGAAAACUAAAGAGAUGAAAGUGUUUGAGAAUAAACAUGAGAGUGCCCAAGUGUAUACAUGCCUCGAUCCAGACAGCAAAGGAAGAAAUGAGUCCUAAGAAUAAAGAGUUUUAAGUAGACAUUUGAAAGAUAAAACCCAAUGUGAACUUAAGCCAAAUAUGUAAAUGUGAUACUAUGACUACUUGUUGGCCUUGAUGGAGGCAAAACAGAAUCUCCUGCUUGUCAAUUUCAAAUCAUGUGUGUACCAUUCUCAACUUCAUAAUAACGAAAUGUAACUCUCACUUAUCCAGAUGCCAUUUAUCCAGCAAACUGAGUUACUGAAACUCAGCUAAACACCAAAAAGAGAAAUACUACAGAAUAGCCUCAAUUAGUACAUAAAGUCCAUGUACUUUACUGAGGAAAGACUCUUAGGCUCUUAUUUCAAAGUUAUUUACUCUAAGUGCACAGAAAUUUAGAAAAGAAGAAGAUGGUGAGGCGUGAGUAAAAGAACAUACUUUUACAGUACUCAUAAGAAAGAGCAGAGAUCAGAGAUUAACCACCCACAAUAUACAUGAGAAAUUUAAUGCAGGAAAACCUCAGUCAUCCCUGAGGUCAACACCUUGGUUCAUUACAGCAUAAUAAUCAAUUUUCUUAUUAACGAAUAUUUAUUGAGCACCUACCUUGUGUUAGUCCUACACACUAUAGACAUGGCAGGGACUAAAACACAUUCCCCUGUAACUUGUAUUUUACAAGGGAGAGACAUUAAAUAAAGAAAGAAAGAAUAUAUCAGGGAGUGUCGAGUAUGGUUUUUUAUGAGAGUCAAAUGAAUAACAUCUCUCUGCUCUGAUUCCAAGAAAACCAAAAAAACAAAAGUGAAAGAUUGCUAAUAGAGCAAAUAUCACCUUUAUUACUGACGAAGGCUAAGUUGGGGGAUGUACCUGACAAGUUAGCCAGUAACCGUGAACCCCCAAAUUGGACAGGCUUUUCCAUCCAGUUGUAGGCAAGCCUAGGCAAUGGAGGGCAGGCAUCCUCUUAGGUGGAAUAGCCUGGAUGAAGAUGUAUGGCCUGCAGAACCAGGGGGAAGCUGACUGCUCAGGAGAGAAAUGGAGGAGGUGAACAUUUGGUGCACAGUUCCUGUUUCCCCAGUGUUUAAAUUAGAUAAGUCAGUGCUUCCUCCUUAAGUGUGCUCUGAGCGAGUGACAGAAAAGACACCAUUAGUGUUUUUUUACUCCCUCAACACGGAAGGAGACAUCAGCAUUGAAGAGAAGCAUUUCUCCCAUCUUCAACAUUCACCAGCCAGCUUUUGACCUUUUAAUCCACUGGGCUUUUGUGUGUGUGUGUGUGUGUGUCUUUUUUUUUUUUUUUUUUUUUUUUUUUUUUUUUUUUUGCUAUUUCUUGGGCCGCUCCUGUGGCAUAUGGAGGUUCCCAGGCUAGGGGUUGAAAUCGGAGCUGCAGCCACUGGCCUACGCCAGAGCCACAGCAACGCUGGAUCCGAGCCGUGUCUGCAACAGCUCAUGGCAACGCCGGAUCCUUAACCCACUGAGCAACGGCAGGGACCGAACCCGCAACCUCAUGGUUCCUAGUCGGAUUCGUUAACCACUGCGCCACGACAGGAACUCCCCACUGGGCUUUGUUAUCCCUCUCAGAGUAGAGGAAAGAAAUGUACUGAAAUCACCCUGCUCCUCCAAAACCAGUCACUUCUUUGAGAGGAUAUUCCUGGAAGGUUUAGAAUUCACUCCCAGAAAACCCUAAAACAGGAAAACCUUAAAAUAUUUAAACCAAGGAGUCCCAUUGUGGUGCAGCAGAAACGAACCUGACUAGUAAUAAUGAGGUUGUGGGUUCAAUCCCUGGCCUCACUCACUGGAUUAAGGAUCUGGCAAUGCUGUUGCUGUGGUGUAGGUUGGCAGCUAUAGCUCUGAUUUGAUCCCUAGCCUGGGAAUCUCCAUAUGCUGUGAUUGUGGCCCUAAAAAAGCAAAAAAAAGAAAAAGAAAAGGUUUAAACCAACACAAAGGUCACUCUAUACUAAGGUUGGCAACAGAUUCUUUAGUAAAAGUCAACACCUAAGACACUCUGUAAUAAUAAUAUGCUCACAUAAAGAUGAAUAAAAAUUAGAUAUAAACUUUUUUCUAUUAUGUAAUUUCAGAGAAAAACUUAAAAGUUCAAAGAUCAAAUUUCUGCAACUUAAUGUCCAAUAGGAUUAAAGUUCAAUGGAAUCAAGUGCUCUUGCCCAUGCAAGUUAAAGGUCAGUAAAAUUGAGAUCCAAGAGUUUUUCCACCAAAGCCUCUUACUCUGUUCCAGAAGGGGUCUUGUUGCCAGGAUGAAGCCGGGGGUCCUUUAAUCAGCUGCAGUGUACACUGUCUCUUAUGAGAAGAGAGUGGUUGCCUCAGGGCUAUGUAAGUGCAAUGCCAAGUCUUUGAUGUUACGUUCCUUAAUAUAGAGUCCAAAAAGUUAAUUAGACCCAUAAGUAUGUCACAGCACCAGCCAGUACCCAUUAAAUUAGAAAAGAAACAAGUCCCCCCAAAAAACUAUUAUCUCAGGAAAAACUAUGUUUCUUAAACCAAAUAUUUAGUGUUGCAGAGACUCACUGUCACCUUUUUUUAAAAAAUGAGGAUUUGCCAGAAUGUCAGCUAGUCUAAACCUGAUGCCUGAAGCCCAAGACUUGGGGACUUAGAUUAGGAGAAUGAUUCCGGUAAGAGGUUAAUUUCAGCAUUAAACAUUUAACACACCGAGGAGGGCAGAAUCCACCUCCCUCCUGUAUUCAAUCUCUCCUUUCAUUUUGUGGCAUUGAGAAGUUGCUGUCUUCUUACAAGGCUGAAAUUUUACAUUGGUGAGAGCACCACCAGUUCUUUGUCAAGGAUUCUUAUAUUUCCUGUGUGCUUAUCUAAUUUCCAUUUCCCUUUUGAGCUCCUAAUUAUGGCACCCCAUUAGCAAAAGUGCUGGGGUCCUGAAGAGGAGGGGCGGCAGGCACAGGAAGACUAAGGAGACGCAGGCACCCUCCAGGAGUGCACAAGCAGUCUCAAAUUUAUUGGCGAACAGCAGCAGCUUAUAUAGGGAAAAAACUUAAAACUUAUAUCAGCAAAAAAGAUCAAUAUCUCAUAACUGUUCCAGGGUUACAGAUUAAGUGUGAAGAUGGAAAAAGGCAACUGGAUCAGGGAAAGUAUACCAUAAACCUAUUAAAGAGUAAACAAGCAGAAAGCUAGAAGCACAUACAGGUUGCAAACAACCUUGUAAAUGUCACGUACACCUCAUUGUCCUUUAACACAAAUGUCUAUUUACUACCUAGCAACAAUCUUACUUUAACUUCUAACAUUAUGAUAGAUUUUUAUACUUAUACAAUAAAGUAAUAAUAAUCAUCAAUUCCUAACGCCUACAUACUAUAUUGUAAAAACUAAAUAAUUGUGCUGCCUAAUAAAGCAUGCCAAUAUUAUCUAAAAUCAUCAUAUGAAAAAACAGAAACCUCCCCAGAAGCUAUUAUUUUGGAAGUAGACAGCACAGAGCCAUAGCUCCAAAGAUAAACUAAAGGCUAACAAACAAAAAUAGGUUGAGGCUUAAAUAGAGAAUAAUAAAUUCCUUUCUUAAGGCAAAAAGAACACAGAGUUAAGGCACAGUAAGCAAGGCAUGGAUCAAUUAUUAAAAACAAAAAAACAGAAGCCAAAGGUAUGUAUCUCCAGGCACUGGUCUCUAAUGCCUGGUGGGGGUUUUGAGGCCUGGUGGAUAUGCUGUUUUGCAGAGCCUUCUUCAGAAUCUCCUGGACUUUGUUAUCAGGCAGGUUCCUUUCUUCAGAGUCCCCUGGACUUUGUCAUCAGGUGGACUCCCGUCUUCUGAAUCCCCUGGACUUUGUCAUCAGGUGGAUUCCAUUCUUGAAACUCAGCUCCCAGCACAAAAGGAGUGUCGUCUAUCCAGAAUUAAGUUCACCCUCCCUUGAAAUCAGGUACUUUUUGGUUCUAGGCUACAAUGGCUAUUUCCUCUACUCAUCAAAAGAUUUUGUGUCUGUGAGGAUGCAGGUUCGAUCCCUAGUCUUACUCAGUGGGUUAAGAAUGCGGCAUUGCUGCAAGCUGUGGUGUAGGUUGCUGAUGCGGCUCAGAUCCAGUAUUGCUGUGGCUGUGGCGAAGACCUCAGCUGCAGCUCCAACUAGACCUCUAGCUAAGAACUUCAAUAUACUGCAGUUGUGGCACUAAAAACAAAACAAAAGAGCCAGCUUGAGACCAAGUGGUGAAAAGGACUUCUUGAGUCUAUGGAAAGAACACAUAAAUUCAAACUUAACUUUCCACAGUCCCUUCCUCAGGAUUCUCAACAGCAUCUGGGGCCAUGAAAGUAGUCUGCCUACCAGGCCAACACUAACAAAACUAGACCCCAAUAAUGCUCUAUAGGAAAUAUAAGACUUAGUUACCUUGAUAUUUAAAGGCAAUGAACGUGUUCCCUUCCUCUAACAUCUUAAAAGACUGUAUUUUGAAAGCCACUUCAGCCGACUGUCAGCUCUUUGCCUCAGCAAAAUCUGAAGCAAAGCUACACUCACAGAUCUGAAGAAGCUUACACUGGCCAACGCCUGUGCUUGGGCAAGCCUGCACACCGUGCCCCUGUGCUUCCUGCCUUGGUGAGGGCUGCCCACACAGUCAGCAUUUGCCAAGGCCCAAGACACCCCUGUGCUCUUUCUGAGGCCCAAGCAGCCCUGGCUCUCCGAGGCCCAGAAUCCUCAUCUUGGUCCUGUAGGAACAGAGUGGACUUUGAAAACAUCUGUCCAUGAUGUAGUCAUCACCAAGGGUAAGAUACUGCAUGGCCUAAGGCUAAAGCCUCUUGGUCAGGCCACAGUAAUUAAAAACUGCCCAAGAAUAAUCCUCUACAAAGAGCUAAGGUCAGUAUACUCUACCCAUGCAGUAAAAUUCCAAGCCAAAGGCUGCAUACUCUUACCAAACCAGAAUCCUCAAUUGUUCAUAUAUUACUGUCCUGCUCCAAGCUACAGAACUUUAUUUCUCAGUGCAUCAAUUGGGGUCUCAAAGUAAAUAACACUCCUUUUUCCCAAGUUCUGAACAAACUGAGACAUAAGAUGAUAUACCAUGAGGAGUUCAAAAUAGGGCUCUUGUUACAAAGACUAAAUCAGGGAGUCUGGCCAAAAAGGCCAAACAUCAUUGAGCCUCAGAGUGAGGAAAACCUAGCCAUGCAGUUGCAGACAGCAGUUAAGUGGAACAGGUCCUCUCAACGGCUCUUGGAGGGAAAUGCGCCUC